This 868-nucleotide ribosomal RNA is filed under the name uncultured archaeon. Its description in RNAcentral is "bacterial SSU rRNA". It matches the Rfam family "Archaeal small subunit ribosomal RNA", at positions 1 to 878 of the family's 1478-position model. The record is from RNAcentral.
CUUCCGUUGAUCCCGCCGGACCUGACUGCUAUCAGAGUGGGACUAAGCCAUGCGAGUCAACAUAGCAAUAUGUGGCAUACGGCUCAGUAACACGUAGUCAACAUGCCCAGGGGACGUGGAUAACCUCGGGAAACUGAGGAUAAACCGCGAUAAGUCACUACUUCUGGAAUGGGUAAUGACUCAAAUCUACAUGGCCCCUGGAUUGGACUGCGGCCGAUCAGGCUGUUGGUGAGGUAAUGGCCCACCAAACCUGUAACCGGUACGGGCUCUGAGAGGAGGAGCCCGGAGAUGGGCACUGAGACAAGGGCCCAGGCCCUAUGGGGCGCAGCAGGCGCGAAACCUCUGCAAUAGGCGAAAGCCUGACAGGGUUACUCUGAGUGAUUUCCGUUAAGGAGAUCUUUUGGCACCUCUAAAAAUGGUGCAGAAUAAGGGGUGGGCAAGUCUGGUGUCAGCCGCCGCGGUAAUACCAGCACCCCGAGUGGUCGGGACGUUUAUUGGGCCUAAAGCAUCCGUAGCCGGUUCUACAAGUCUUCCGUUAAAUCCACCUGCUUAACAGAUGGGCUGCGGAAGAUACUAUAGAGCUAGGAGGCGGGAGAGGCAAGCGGUACUCGAUGGGUAGGGGUAAAAUCCGUUGAUCCAUUGAAGACCACCAGUGGCGAAGGCGGCUUGCCAGAACGCGCUCGACGGUGAGGGAUGAAAGCUGGGGGAGCAAACCGGAUUAGAUACCCGGGUAGUCCCAGCUGUAAACGAUGCAGACUCGGUGAUGAGUUGGCUUCUUGCCAACUCAGUGCCGCAGGGAAGCCGUUAAGUUUGCCGCCUGGGGCGUACGGUCGCAAGACUGAAACUUAAAGGAAUUGGCGGGGGGACA